AGCCCUCCCCGCCUGCUCUGGUUCACAGAUGUUAUGCGCCACCUCGUCGUGAUGCUGGGGAUCUGCGCCCUGUUGUAGGAGUCAGCCUGGAGCUGCAGCUCCGCCCUCAGGUCGUCCUCAGCGAUGACAAACUCGUUUUUUGUGCUGCCAAAAAGAGCAAACAGAAGACUACAGGGGAGCAGACUACUCUGUCGGGGAGCAGAGACCAGCGCUUUGCCAAAUAUGUGUUCCAAUUUUUGUGAAUUCAGCGAUCAAUUUUCUUUGGUGCCCCCACUUCCUCUUGUUACUUCAGUGGCCCUUAGAUCCCGCCAGUCCCUCCCCUGCAGCUGGGGAGGAGUCUUCUCAGACUCCAGUCAAGAGUGCAGGGCCCUCCUCCUUUGAAAGCUAUUUUAAUUCUGAGAGACUGGCACACUCACCAAGUGCAGCUGAGCAUUUUGAAGACCAUGUAGUGCCUAACCACAAAGUCAAUGCUAAAUAGGGAAUGCACAGGAAUAGCCAGCUUCGCCAGAAGGGGCUCUGUCAUUGAGACUGGGCAGUUCUACCCAAGGACCAGAGCUGAGCCCGCAGGCAGGGAGUUGCAAUCUUUCAAAU
This 591-nucleotide long non-coding RNA is filed under the name Marmota monax (woodchuck). The record is from RNAcentral. Lineage: Eukaryota; Metazoa; Chordata; Mammalia; Rodentia; Sciuridae.